GACGAACGCUGGCGGCGUGCCUAAUACAUGCAAGUAGAACGCACAGUUUAUACCGUAGCUUGCUACACCAUAGACUGUGAGUUGCGAACGGGUGAGUAACGCGUAGGUAACCUGCCUGGUAGCGGGGGAUAACUAUUGGAAACGAUAGCUAAUACCGCAUAAUAUUGAUUAUUGCAUGAUAAUUAAUUGAAAGGUGCAAUUGCACCACUACCAGAUGGACCUGCGUUGUAUUAGCUAGUAGGUGAGGUAACGGCUCACCUAGGCGACGAUACACAGCCGACCUGAGAGGGUGAUCGGCCACACUGGGACUGAGACACGGCCCAGACUCCUACGGGAGGCAGCAGUAGGGAAUCUUCGGCAAUGGACGAAAGUCUGACCGAGCAACGCCGCGUGAGUGAAGAAGGUUUUCGGAUCGUAAAGCUCUGUUGUAAGAGAAGAACGGGUGUGAGAGUGGAAAGUUCACACUGUGACGGUAUCUUACCAGAAAGGGACGGCUAACUACGUG
RNAcentral lists this ribosomal RNA (505 nucleotides) under uncultured bacterium. Its description in RNAcentral is "partial 16S ribosomal RNA". It matches the Rfam family "Bacterial small subunit ribosomal RNA", at positions 28 to 507 of the family's 1533-position model. The record is from RNAcentral.